This 354-nucleotide ribosomal RNA is filed under the name uncultured Glomeraceae. RNAcentral describes it as "SSU rRNA". It matches the Rfam family "Eukaryotic small subunit ribosomal RNA", at positions 569 to 929 of the family's 1831-position model. The record is from RNAcentral. Lineage: Eukaryota; Fungi; Glomeromycota; Glomeromycetes; Glomerales; Glomeraceae.
AGCAGCCGCGGUAAUUCCAGCUCCAAUAGCGUAUAUUAAAGUUGUUGCAGUUAAAAAGCUCGUAGUUGAAUUUCGGGAUUAGUGCGCCGGUCGUGCCUUCGGUAUGUACUGGCGUUACUGGUUCCUACCUUCUGACGAACCGUCAUGUCAUUAAUUUGGUGUGGCGGGGAAUCAGGACUGUUACUUUGAAAAAAUUAGAGUGUUCAAAGCAGGCUUAUGUCUGAAUACAUUAGCAUGGAAUAAUAAAAUAGGACGGUGGUCCUGUUUUGUUGGUUUCUGAAUCACCGUAAUGAUUAAUAGGGAUAGUUGGGGGCAUUAGUAUUCAAUUGUCAGAGGUGAAAUUCUUGGAUUUAU